AGUGAACGCUGGCGGUAGGCCUAACACAUGCAAGUCGAACGGCAGCACAGUAAGAGCUUGCUCUUACGGGUGGCGAGUGGCGGACGGGUGAGGAAUAUAUCGGAAUCUACUUUUUCGUGGGGGAUAACGUAGGGAAACUUACGCUCAUACCGCAUCCGACCUACGGGUGAAAGCAGGGGAUCUUCGGACCUUGCGCGAUUGAAUGAGCCGAUGUCGGAUUAGCUAGUUGGCGGGGUAAAGGCCCACCAAGGCGACGAUCCGUAGCUGGUCUGAGAGGAUGAUCAGCCACACUGGAACUGAGACACGGUCCAGACUCCUACGGUAGGCAGCAGUGGGGAAUAGUGGACAAUGGGCGCAAGCCUGAUCCAGCCAUACCGCGUGGGUGAAGAAGGCCUUCGGGUUGUAAAGCCCUUUUGUUGGGAAAGAAAAGCAGCAGGUUAAUACCCCGCUGUUCUGACGGUACCCAAAGAAUAAGCACCGGCUAACUUCGUG
RNAcentral lists this ribosomal RNA (492 nucleotides) under uncultured bacterium. RNAcentral's name for it is "partial 16S ribosomal RNA". It matches the Rfam family "Bacterial small subunit ribosomal RNA", at positions 29 to 507 of the family's 1533-position model. The record is from RNAcentral.